CUGUGAUGGAGGAAGCCCCCAGCCCUUCUCAAUGCUGCCUUUGCUUCCUCCAUCUAAGGUGAGCGUUAUGCUGCCUACCCUCAUGAUGCAGUCCUUCUGUAUGCUGAGAUCCUGAUGGAAGUGGUAACAGCCGGGAGCGUUUUCCUGGAUGGGAGGCCAGCUAGUGAUCUGGGAGUCUGAAAGGCUCCAACUGGACCAUGUUGCAGGGUGAGAGGAUGGGCAAACUGUGUCGAAAUCACCCUGGGAGCUGGCCAGUGGAGGUCGUCUUGCUGUACUCCAGCUUUCUAUUUUCCACCCCAGAGGGCCAUGCCUGUGUCCAGAGGGAACAACAGUACCACGUCUAGUGGGACCAUUUUGGGAGAUGUCAACUCCUUUACGGACAGCCAGCGGGGUCAAGAGCUCUUUUAUGCCCCAGUAGGGCUUUACCA
This is a long non-coding RNA of Bos indicus x Bos taurus (hybrid cattle), 428 nucleotides long. The record is from Ensembl. Lineage: Eukaryota; Metazoa; Chordata; Mammalia; Artiodactyla; Bovidae.